UCGUAGCGAUUGGUUGCCUUGAAAAAGAC
This 29-nucleotide small RNA is filed under the name Bombyx mori (domestic silkworm). RNAcentral's name for it is "ovarian small RNA-7637". Lineage: Eukaryota; Metazoa; Arthropoda; Insecta; Lepidoptera; Bombycidae. The record is from RNAcentral.